Molecule: ribosomal RNA, 453 nt
Filed under: uncultured Prevotellaceae bacterium
Lineage: Bacteria; Pseudomonadati; Bacteroidota; Bacteroidia; Bacteroidales; Prevotellaceae
Description: partial 16S ribosomal RNA
Rfam family: Bacterial small subunit ribosomal RNA
Source: RNAcentral
ACGGGAGGCAGCAGUGAGGAAUAUUGGUCAAUGGACGAGAGUCUGAACCAGCCAAGUAGCGUGCAGGAUGACGGCCCUAUGGGUUGUAAACUGCUUUUGUAUGGGAAUAAAGUGAGGGUCGUGACCCUUUUUGUAUGUACCUUACGAAUAAGCAUCGGCUAAUUCCGUGCCAGCAGCCGCGGUAAUACGGAAGAUGCGAGCGUUAUCCGGAUUUAUUGGGUUUAAAGGGAGCGUAGGCGGACCUUUAAGUCUGUGGUCAAAUGUCAGGGCCCAACCUUGGCAUGCCAUGGAAACUGUAGGUCUUGAAUACACACAAGGAAGGUGGAAUUCGUCGUGUAGCGGUGAAAUGCUUAGAUAUGACGAAGAACUCCGAUUGCGAAGGCAGCCUUCUGGAGUGCGAUUGACGCUGAGGCUCGAAAGUGCGGGUAUCAAACAGGAUUAGAUACCCUGGUA